CCUACGGGAGGCAGCAGUGAGGAAUAUUGGUCAAUGGCCGUAAGGCUGAACCAGCCAAGUCGCGUGAAGGAAGAAGGACCUAUGGUUUGUAAACUUCUUUUAUAGGGGAAUAAAGGUAUCCAAGUGUGUAUAUUUGCAUGUACCCUAUGUAUCCGCAUCGGCUAACUCCGUGCCAGCAGCCGCGGUACUACGGAGGAUGCGAGAGUUAUCCGGAUUUAUUGGGUUUAACGUGUGCGUAGGUUGUUUUUUAAGUCAGAGGUGAAAGUUUGGGGCUCAACCAUAAAAUUGCCGUUGAUACUGGAAGACGUGAGUGUGUUUGAGGUAGGCGGAAUGCGUGGUGUAGCGGUGAAAUGCAUAGAUAUCACGCAGAACUCCGAUUGCGAAGGCAGCUUACUAAGCCAUAACUGACACUGAAGCACGAAAGCGUGGGGAUCAAACAGGAUUAGAUACCCGAGUAGUC
RNAcentral lists this ribosomal RNA (460 nucleotides) under uncultured bacterium. Its description in RNAcentral is "partial 16S ribosomal RNA". It matches the Rfam family "Bacterial small subunit ribosomal RNA", at positions 338 to 795 of the family's 1533-position model. The record is from RNAcentral.